GACGAACGCUGGCGGCGUGCUUAACACAUGCAAGUCGAACGGAAAGGCCCUGCUUUUGUGGGGUGCUCGAGUGGCGAACGGGUGAGUAACACGUGAGUAACCUGCCCUUGACUUUGGGAUAACUUCAGGAAACUGGGGCUAAUACCGGAUAGGAGCUCCUGCUGCAUGGUGGGGGUUGGAAAGUUUCGGCGGUUGGGGAUGGACUCGGGGCUUAUCAGCUUGUUGGUGGGGUAGUGGCUUACCAAGGCUUUGACGGGUAGCCGGCCUGAGAGGGUGACCGGCCACCAUGGGACUGAGAUACGGCCCAGACUCCUACGGGAGGCAGCAGUGGGGAAUAUUGCACAAUGGGCGGAAGCCUGAUGCAGCAACGCCGCGUGCGGGAUGACGGCCUUCGGGUUGUAAACCGCUUUCGCCUGUGACGAAGCGUGAGUGACGGUAAUGGGUAAAGAAGCACCGGCUAACUACGUG
This 468-nucleotide ribosomal RNA is filed under the name uncultured bacterium. RNAcentral describes it as "partial 16S ribosomal RNA". It matches the Rfam family "Bacterial small subunit ribosomal RNA", at positions 28 to 507 of the family's 1533-position model. The record is from RNAcentral.